RNAcentral lists this ribosomal RNA (413 nucleotides) under uncultured bacterium. RNAcentral describes it as "bacterial SSU rRNA". It matches the Rfam family "Bacterial small subunit ribosomal RNA", at positions 355 to 765 of the family's 1533-position model. The record is from RNAcentral.
UGAGGAAUAUUGGUCAAUGGGCGGGAGCCUGAACCAGCCAAGUCGCGUGAAGGAAGAAGGAUCUAUGGUUCGUAAACUUCUUUUGCAGGGGAAUAAAGUGCAGGACGUGUCCUGUUUUGUAUGUACCCUGAGAAUAAGGAUCGGCUAACUCCGUGCCAGCAGCCGCGGUAAUACGGAGGAUCCGAGCGUUAUCCGGAUUUAUUGGGUUUAAAGGGUGCGUAGGUGGUUUGAUAAGUCAGCGGUGAAAGUUUGCAGCUUAACUGUAAAAAUGCCGUUGAAACUGUCGGACUUGAGUGUAAAUGAGGUAGGCGGAAUGCGUGGUGUAGCGGUGAAAUGCAUAGAUAUCACGCAGAACUCCGAUUGCGAAGGCAGCUUACUAAGCUACAACUGACACUGAAGCACGAAAGCGUGGG